Hevea brasiliensis (rubber tree) is the source of this 2884-nucleotide RNA transcript. It is a transcript of the gene named casein kinase 1-like protein 3, with no coding region annotated. The record is from RefSeq and is a predicted model, not a curated record. NCBI's taxonomy places the organism in Eukaryota, Viridiplantae, Streptophyta, Magnoliopsida, Malpighiales, Euphorbiaceae. The transcript has 17 exons.
CCACGUCUGCUUUUCCCUUUAGGUCGUCUGUUGCCGGUUCUCAUUUCCUUGUGGUUUCAGUUUCUCGCACCUCUUUCUGUUUCAACCUCACUUCAAUUCCUACUUUAUCAUCAACGAUCUGCUCCAUCGAUUUGUACCAGUAGAUUAAUUGCUCAUGGAACGGAUUGUCGGCGGCAAGUACAAGCUCGGCCGGAAAAUUGGUAGUGGAUCCUUCGGCGAAAUCUAUCUCGCCACUCAUAUCGAUACUUUUGAGAUCGUUGCUGUUAAGAUCGAGAACAGUAAAACAAAACACCCGCAAUUGCUUUACGAAGCAAAGUUGUAUAAUAUUCUUCAAGGAGGCAGUGGUAUUCCUAGCAUAAAAUGGUCUGGUGUUGAUGGGGACGACAAUGUACUGGUCCUUGAUUUGCUGGGGCCAAGCCUCGAGGACCUGUUUGUGUACUGUGGAAGGAAGUUCUCGCUCAAGACAGUUUUGAUGUUGGCUGAUCAAAUGAUUACGAGGAUAGAAUACGUCCACUCUAAAGGGUUUCUGCAUAGAGACAUCAAACCUGAUAACUUUCUCAUGGGUCUUGGUCGGAAAGCAAAUCAGGUUUACAUAAUUGAUUUUGGCCUUGCAAAAAGAUAUCGAGAUGCCACAACCAAUCGCCAUAUUCCUUACAGGGAGAAUAAAAACUUGACAGGAACUGCACGUUAUGCCAGUUGCAAUACUCACCUUGGAAUUGAGCAGAGCCGGCGGGAUGAUUUGGAGUCACUUGGCUAUGUACUGUUAUAUUUUCUGAGAGGAAGCCUUCCAUGGCAGGGUUUGAAAGCUGCCACAAAGAAGCAGAAAUACGACAAAAUUUGUGAAAAGAAAUUAUCAACCCCUAUUGAGGUUCUGUGCAAAUCUCAUCCAGUGGAGUUUGCAUCAUACCUACAUUACUGUCACUCACUCACAUUUGAUCAGCGACCUGAUUAUGGAUUCUUGAAGCGCCUGUUUCGAGAUCUGUUUGCCCGCGAAGGAUAUGAAUUUGACUACGUAUUUGAUUGGACCAUCAUAAAAUAUCAGCAGGCACAAAAGAGUAGAAGUCAGCCUCGUCUAUCUCCGGUUCCUGGAGCAAGUAGCAGUCAUGUAGUGCCAACAGAUAUGGAGAACCAUCAAGGAAGCAGUAGUGCUCCCUAUUCCUCUGACAUCAUGCGAUCUAAUGGUCCUGGUGUACACAUGCAAUUCAAAUCAGCAGUUGGCAAGAAUUUGAGCUCUGAUAAUCAUGGUUAUAAGAAUAUUGUAACCGAUGCACACAUUCCCUCCACUUCAUUUUCACUUGCUGGUACCUCAAAAAGAAAUCCCCCAAAUCCUGUUUUGCCCACCGAAGCUGCAAAUUCUGGUCAAGGACACAGCAGCAAAAUUGGUCCUUCAAGUAGCUGGAUUUCAUCAUUGCAACGCAUUCAUUCUGCGAAGUGAUUAGCUUGCUACGAUCUGGUCAAGAAGAUUCUAGUGAUACAUCUAUUGGAGGCAGCAAAACCUACGGUGACUAGCGUCAUGCUUUCAGCGUUUAUCUGUUAAGAAGCUCCAGUGAUGCAUUUAAGGGGCUCCAAUGUGCUUUGCUCCUCUGUGAAAAGCGGCUCACAUAAUUUUUUUUUUCUUAAGGAUUCUUUUUCUCCUACAGCAUUGUUUGAUUGAACGAAUAUAACAGGGGGCUAUCAUGCAGGGAUGGCAUUUGAAGGUCAUAGUAUGUACAGUUCUGGAUUAUUAUAGCUGCUCAUUUAGGAAGACACUACCUAAAUGCCAACUGGGAACAAGGUGUUAAAAUGAUACUAGUUUUGGUGCCACUGUUUUAUGUGGAUUCAGUAUUCUGCAGGUUGCUUAUAUGCAAACAUAGUUGUGCUGCGUGCUUGAUUUAAAUGAGGGAUUGUGGAAUUGGUUAUUCUCUUAUGAAGUAGAAGUUAGCCUGUGUAUUAUAUUGCCAAUUUGCCAAGAACUUAAGAUUUGCUUGUCAAAUUUGCUGGAUGGAGGAUGAGUAGUGGGAUAUUCCUGCAUUUAUUUGGAUUAUUCAUUGGCAUACCAAGGAAAUUACUUGCCAUUGGUUGUUAUUCCGCAGAUAUUUCUUAUUUGUGUUUGGGAGGGAGGUUAUCUCCUGCUUGGACCAGUUGACAUUGUUCUUUGAAGAGGUCUUCAAGUACUAGUUUUUUCAGGGAAGUGAAAUUAUUGGACUUAAAAGUUCAGAAUGGAUGACAAUCUGGGAUUUCAUUCUGUUCUGUGGUUGAGAAGUUGCAUAUAUGCUUAUAGAAUUCUGUGGGGACUUUCAGGCAUCCCAUAUUGUUUGGUAUGAUGAUUAUUGGUUAGUCUGCAAUUGGAAUCCUUAGCUACUUGUUAUGAAUGAUAUGGUAGUGCAGUUAUUGAAGAUAACUUACGUGUGUAUCAGCAGUCUGACCUUACUUUUCAAUAUACUUCCAUGGAAUUCAAUUGUAGAUCUUCAAGCUAAUGUAUGGUUUAGCGUGAUGAUCUCUCUACAUGGAAACAUGAGCUGCUCUGUUAUGAAAUGUUAUGGUGGCACAGUUUUAAAGAUUUCAAACUUAUUGAUUAAUCAGUGCGUUGGCGCCAACCCUCUACAUGACGAUGUUAAGGGUGAGGAACCGCGAGGUCUGGGAUUUGUCCAUAUGAAACUCAUUACCAAUGGUUAAUGCGCUCCCAUGGUAAGGCUCCUAAUGAUAUACUGCAUCUCAUGUAUCCAUUCAAGUUACCCGGUACAGAUAAUUUUGAUUCACUUCUAUUUCCUUUGGAUCAGUUUCUUCUCCUUGUUGCUUGUUAUGUUACCCGCUAUGAUUCUCAGGUGAGUUUGAUAUGGUAGUCAGGAAACUAGAGAUUUGAAUUGAUUACUCAUUCAGGUGAAAAUUGAGUUAUUUCACGAAA